RNAcentral lists this ribosomal RNA (116 nucleotides) under Pteropus alecto (black flying fox). Lineage: Eukaryota; Metazoa; Chordata; Mammalia; Chiroptera; Pteropodidae. The record is from RNAcentral.
GUCUAUGGUCAUGCCACCCCGAACAAGCCUGGUGUCUGAUCUUGGAAGCUAAGUAGGGUCAGAUCUGGUUAGUAUUGGGAUGGGAGACCACCUAGGAAGACCAGGUGCUGUAGGCG